AAUUUUAAUAAGAAAAAUUUCAUUGUGAUUUAUUCACCCCCUCCCCCCUUCUAGCUAGUUGCCCUAGUCUAACACCCUAAGACAACCCUACACAAAAGAGGUUAUCUCUCAUUUUACUUUUUUAGCAAGUACAAUUAGCGCCUACAACGAGACCUGGGUAAAAAUGACCUAGGUCACACCCAUCUUUUAUCAUCUGCCUCAUCCAUCUUAUGCAUUAUGAUGGCAAAU
RNAcentral lists this long non-coding RNA (228 nucleotides) under Lathyrus oleraceus (garden pea). Its description in RNAcentral is "Pisum sativum (pea) long non-coding RNA (PSAT_LNC023478)". The record is from RNAcentral. Lineage: Eukaryota; Viridiplantae; Streptophyta; Magnoliopsida; Fabales; Fabaceae.